AACCCAUGUUGAGGACAUUUCCAUAGGAGCUCGUUGAACAUAUCCCAUGUCUCAAAAAGAGACUCCAAUUCUGCUUGCACAAAAGAAGAUAUCUCAUUCCUAAGCUU
Molecule: small nucleolar RNA, 107 nt
Organism: Dioscorea cayenensis subsp. rotundata (Guinea yam)
Lineage: Eukaryota; Viridiplantae; Streptophyta; Magnoliopsida; Dioscoreales; Dioscoreaceae
Source: RefSeq, a predicted model, not a curated record